CAAAUUGAUUUUAUGCUUGCAUAAAUGAUUUUUGGAUUCGGAGCGAGUGGCGAACUGGUGAGUAACACGUGGGUAACCUGCCCCGAAGCGGGGGAUAACAUUUGGAAACAAGUGCUAAUACCGCAUAAUUAGUUGGAACCGCAUGGUUCCAACUUGAAAGAUGGCUCUGCUAUCACUUUGGGAUGGACCCGCGCCGUAUUAGUUAGUUGGUGAGAUAAAAGCCCACCAAGACGAUGAUACGUAGCCGACCUGAGAGGGUAAUCGGCCACAUUGGGACUGAGACACGGCCCAGACUCCUACGGGAGGCAGCAGUAGGGAAUCUUCCACAAUGGACGAAAGUCUGAUGGAGCAACGCCGCGUGAGUGAUGAAGGUUUUCGGAUCGUAAAACUCUGUUGUUAAAGAAGAACAAGUGUUAGAGUAACUGUUAACACUUUGACGGUAUUUAACCAGAAAGCCACGGCUAACUACGUGCCAGCAGCCGCGGUAAUACGUAGGUGGCAAGCGUUGUCCGGAUUUAUUGGGCGUAAAGCGAGCGCAGGCGGUUUUGUAAGUCUGCUGUGAAAGCCCUCAGCUCAACUGAGGAAGUGCAGUGGAAACUACAAAACUUGAGUACAGAAGAGGAAAGUGGAACUCCAUGUGUAGCGGUGAAAUGCGUAGAUAUAUGGAAGAACACCAGUGGCGAAGGCGGCUUUCUGGUCUGUUACUGACGCUGAGGCUCGAAAGCAUGGGUAGCGAACAGGAUUAGAUACCCUGGUAGUCCAUGCCGUAAACGAUGAAUACUAGGUGUUGGAGGGUUUCCGCCCUUCAGUGCCGCAGCUAACGCAUUAAGUAUUCCGCCUGGGGAGUACGACCGCAAGGUUGAAACUCAAAGGAAUUGACGGGGGCCCGCACAAGUGGUGGAGCAUGUGGUUUAAUUCGAUGCUACGCGAAGAACCUUACCAGCUCUUGACAUCUUCUGCCAACCCAAGAGAUUGGGCGUUCCCUUCGGGGACAGAAUGACAGGUGGUGCAUGGUUGUCGUCAGCUCGUGUCGUGAGAUGUUGGGUUAAGUCCCGCAACGAGCGCAACCCUUAUUAUUAGUUGCCAGCAUUUAGUUGGGCACUCUAGUGAGACUGCCGGUGAUAAACCGGAGGAAGGUGGGGACGACGUCAAAUCAUCAUGCCCCUUAUGAGCUGGGCUACACACGUGCUACAAUGGAUGGUACAACGAGUCGCGAAACCGCGAGGUCAAGCUAUUCUCUUAAAGCCAUUCUCAGUUCGGAUUGCAGGCUGCAACUCGCCUGCAUGAAG
RNAcentral lists this ribosomal RNA (1289 nucleotides) under Apilactobacillus kunkeei. RNAcentral describes it as "bacterial SSU rRNA". It matches the Rfam family "Bacterial small subunit ribosomal RNA", at positions 58 to 1325 of the family's 1533-position model. The record is from RNAcentral. Lineage: Bacteria; Bacillati; Bacillota; Bacilli; Lactobacillales; Lactobacillaceae.